UACGUAGGGUCCGAGCGUUGUUCGGAAUUACUGGGCGUAAAGGGCUCGUAGGCGGCCAACUAAGUCGGACGUGAAAUCCCCAGGCUCAACCUGGGAACUGCGUCCGAUACUGGAUGGCUUGAAUCCGGGAGAGGGAUGCAGAAUUCCAGGUGUAGCGGUGAAAUGCGUAGAUAUCUGGAGGAAUACCGGUGGCGAAGGCGGCAUCCUGGACCGGCAUUGACGCUGAGGAGCGAAAGCCAGGGGAGCAAACGGG
Molecule: ribosomal RNA, 253 nt
Filed under: uncultured bacterium
Lineage: Bacteria
Description: partial 16S ribosomal RNA
Rfam family: Bacterial small subunit ribosomal RNA
Source: RNAcentral